GAGUAGAGUGGCGAACGGGUGAGUAACGCGUAGAUAAACAACCCUCAAGUCUGGGAUAACUUUUCGAAAGGAAAGCUAAUACCGGAUAAUAGAAGGAGUCGGGUGGCUUCUUCUUGAAAGUUCCGGCGCUUGAGGACGUGUCUGCGUCCCAUUAGCUAGUUGGUAAGGUAAAGGCUUACCAAGGCGACGAUGGGUAGCGGGUUUGAGAGGAUGAUCCGCCACACUGGCACUGAGACACGGGCCAG
RNAcentral lists this ribosomal RNA (245 nucleotides) under uncultured bacterium. Its description in RNAcentral is "partial 16S ribosomal RNA". It matches the Rfam family "Bacterial small subunit ribosomal RNA", at positions 88 to 334 of the family's 1533-position model. The record is from RNAcentral.